Molecule: transfer RNA, 82 nt
Filed under: Loxodonta africana (African savanna elephant)
Lineage: Eukaryota; Metazoa; Chordata; Mammalia; Proboscidea; Elephantidae
Rfam family: tRNA
About the family: Transfer RNA (tRNA) molecules are approximately 80 nucleotides in length. Their secondary structure includes four short double-helical elements and three loops (D, anti-codon, and T loops).
Source: Rfam by way of RNAcentral
GACCAGGUGGCCAAGUGGUUAAGGAGAUGAACUGCUAAUCCAUUUUGCAUUGCACGCAUGGGUUCAAAUCCCAUCCUCCUCC